GAUUAACGCUAGCGGCAGGCAUAAUACAUGCAAGUUGAACGGCAGCACAGGUAGCAAUACUGGGUGGCGAGUGGCGCACGGGUGCGUAAUACGUAUGCAACCUACCCUAUACAGGCGAAUAACCUUUAGAAAUGAGGGCUAAUACGCCGUAGUAUUACAGAUGGGCAUCUAUUUGUAAUUAAAGAUUUAUCGGUAUAGGAUGGGCAUGCGUCCCAUUAGUUAGUUGGUAAGGUAACGGCUUACCAAGACGAUGAUGGGUAGGGGAUCUGAGAGGACUUACCCCACACUGGUACUGAGACACGGACCAGACUCCUACGGGAGGCAGCAGUAAGGAAUAUUGGGCAAUGGCCGCGAGGCUGACCCAGCCAUGCCGCGUGCAGGAAGACGGCCUUAUGGGUUGUAAACUGCUUUUAUACGGGAAUAAUAGAGUGUACGCGUACAUUUAUGCAAGUAUCGUAUGAAUAAGCAUCGGCUAACUCCGUG
RNAcentral lists this ribosomal RNA (483 nucleotides) under uncultured bacterium. Its description in RNAcentral is "partial 16S ribosomal RNA". It matches the Rfam family "Bacterial small subunit ribosomal RNA", at positions 28 to 507 of the family's 1533-position model. The record is from RNAcentral.